CUUGUUUGACCAUUGAUGG
This 19-nucleotide unclassified non-coding RNA is filed under the name Dictyostelium discoideum. The record is from RNAcentral. Lineage: Eukaryota; Evosea; Eumycetozoa; Dictyosteliales; Dictyosteliaceae.